AACGAACGCUGGCGGCAGGCUUAACACAUGCAAGUCGAACGCCCCGCAAGGGGAGUGGCAGACGGGUGAGUAACGCGUGGGAACAUACCCUUUUCUACGGAAUAGCUCUGGGAAACUGGAAUUAAUACCGUAUACGCCCUACGGGGGAAAGAUUUAUCGGGGAAGGAUUGGCCCGCGUUGGAUUAGCUAGUUGGUGGGGUAAAGGCCUACCAAGGCGACGAUCCAUAGCUGGUCUGAGAGGAUGAUCAGCCGCAUUGGGACUGAGACACGGCCCAAACUCCUACGGGAGGCAGCAGUGGGGAAUAUUGGACAAUGGGCGCAAGCCUGAUCCAGCCAUGCCGCGUGAGUGAUGAAGGCCUUAGGGUUGUAAAGCUCUUUCACCGAUGAAGAUAAUGACGGUAGUCGGAGAAGAAGCCCCGGCUAACUUCGUG
RNAcentral lists this ribosomal RNA (431 nucleotides) under uncultured bacterium. RNAcentral's name for it is "partial 16S ribosomal RNA". It matches the Rfam family "Bacterial small subunit ribosomal RNA", at positions 29 to 507 of the family's 1533-position model. The record is from RNAcentral.